Molecule: ribosomal RNA, 292 nt
Filed under: uncultured bacterium
Lineage: Bacteria
Description: partial 16S ribosomal RNA
Rfam family: Bacterial small subunit ribosomal RNA
Source: RNAcentral
GUGUCAGCCGCCGCGGUAAUACGUAGGGGGCAAGCGUUGUCCGGAUUUAUUGGGCGUAAAGAGCGUGUAGGCGGCCAGAUAGGUCUGUUGUGAAAACUCGAGGCUCAACCUCGAGACGCCGAUGGAAACCAUCUGGCUAGAGUCCGGAAGAGGAGAGUGGAAUUCCUGGUGUAGCGGUGAAAUGCGCAGAUAUCAGGAAGAACACCCGUGGCUAAGGCGGCUCUCUAGUACGGUACUGACGCUGAGACGCGAAAGCGUGGGGAGCGAACAGGAUUAGAAACCCGAGUAGUCC